This 389-nucleotide ribosomal RNA is filed under the name uncultured bacterium. RNAcentral describes it as "bacterial SSU rRNA". It matches the Rfam family "Bacterial small subunit ribosomal RNA", at positions 29 to 408 of the family's 1533-position model. The record is from RNAcentral.
AACGAACGCUGGCGGCGCGCCUAAUACAUGCAAGUCGAGCGAGAAGACGUAGCAAUACGUUUGUAAAGCGGCGAACGGGUGAGGAAUACAUGGGUAACCUACCCUCGAGUGGGGAAUAACUAGCCGAAAGGUUAGCUAAUACCGCGUACGCUCCUUGGACUUCGGUUCAGGGAGGAAAGCGAUACCGUGGGUAUCGCGCUCUUGGAUGGGCUCAUGUCCUAUCAGCUUGUUGGCGAGGUAACGGCUCACCAAGGCUUCGACGGGUAGCUGGUCUGAGAGGACAAUCAGCCACACUGGCACUGCGACACGGGCCAGACUCCUACGGGAGGCAGCAGUAAGGAAUAUUGCGCAAUGGGCGAAAGCCUGACGCAGCGACGCCGCGUGGGGGA